Molecule: long non-coding RNA, 494 nt
Filed under: Elaeis guineensis (African oil palm)
Lineage: Eukaryota; Viridiplantae; Streptophyta; Magnoliopsida; Arecales; Arecaceae
Description: long non-coding RNA (EGUI_LNC062291)
Source: RNAcentral
CGCUGUAUAAUCUUGAAAAAGUUUCAAGAUCUAACCCUGAAACCCUAGAUCUGGUUCCUACAAUUGGUAUCAGAGCCUAGGUUCUUUAUUACAUGAUUAUUUAUACAUGCUUAGAUUAUUUUUUAGAUUAGAUCUAAUUUAUAAUCUGAUUAUUAAAUCUGAAAUUAAAAUUUUAGAUCAAUCACAAACUGCAAGGUUGUCCUGCUGUAAGGUUUACCCCUUACAGUGAAAAGGUUGUCCUAGUUUGUGUAGAUCUAUCUUUAAUCAUAAAUUUGUUAGAUAUGAUCUAGAUUAAAUUUAUGAUUUAUUAGAUUUAAAAGAUAUUUAAAUCUAAAAUAAAAUCUCUUUGUUAAUAAUUUUUAUGCAAAGAAAUUAUUUAAAGUUAAAAUUAUUUCAAUUACAUGAACCUGUUUAGAUUAGAUCUAAAGUAGUUUCAUGUUUAUUUCACUUGCAUCUUGAUUAUGAAUCAAACAUGCAAUAUGAUUGGUAGAAUC